AACAGCCCCACGGGCCUUGUCCCAUCGCAGGGGACAGGAGGCCUCAUGGCCAUGGGGUUCUCAGAGAGGCAAGGGGCAGCUCCAGCCCGUGGUGGCUCCAUGAGCAGCGCAGAAGCCGCCGUGGGUUUAUUGCUUGAUUCCAGCUUUGAAAUGGAACCGAGAGCGGAGCUGAGCACAGCCAGAUUAGAGAGCAUCACCAACCGCCUGGAAGAGCAGCUCGUGUGGCCCGAGAGGAACGCAAAGGACGAGGGAGCGGCGGCUCUUACCUUGGUCGGGCAGGGUGGGGGCCGGCCGGGCGGCGGAGAGCGCGGCUGCGACCAGCACAGCCCAAAGGAUGAGGCACCGCCAGCUUGGACAGCAGGAUGUCCCUGCAUCAAGGGAUGUCCCCACACUGCAGCGGCAGGUCCCCACAGACCCCUCAGCAGCCUGACGUGACCUGGCACUGACUGGCAGGGUUAUGUUUCCCUGUGUAAAAGCGCUGAUGUGUCAAGAGUGAAACCGCUGGCGAAGCAGAACCAAAUGCAGCAAGAUUUCCCCGAAUGGAGCACCGAGCUUUUUCAAGUCACGUUCCAGGGGGACGCUGGAGCCCGAACGCAGCCACCCCCGGCAAACCGCCCCGAGCCUUGCGGAUGGGAACAAGCCCCUGUUCUCCACCCCCGCGCACAGACACAUCUGCACCUCGGCAGCAGCCUGGGAUGAGGUCCGGCCGCCGAUGGCCCCGCUGGGCUCCGCCGAGCGCUGAUCCUGCCCAGCCAUUGCACAACGCGCACGGCCCCGGCCAGGGCGCCGCUGGCAGCGGGAGCUCUGCGGCCAGGACGGGGACAGGGCCAUCCCACACACCCUUCCCCAGGGCACCUCCCGGGGUACAGCUGUGCCUCCGGGCCCCGCAGCCCCUGUCGAGCAUCCCAAGCUCACCGGGCUCCUCUCCGCGCUGCCGCGUGCUGCGCCGUCCCCAAGCUGCCACGGGAACAGGCGCUUCCCUUCGCCCAAAGGCGUCAGGCUGAAGUACACACUGUUAGAAACAGUGAGUAAUAAUCGUAGUGAGUAAUAAACCUCUACUCAUCCUCCCCACGCACUCGCUCCACGGAGCUCUGGCCUCUCCCGCUCCAGUGUGAGACCCUGCGCUCGCCGUGCCUGAAGUGGCGGCUUCCCCCGGGGAUGGCUGAGCAGCCACAAGCUCCAGAGGGCUCAGAUCCUCCAAAGAGCCUCUGCACCCAAAGGAAGCCCGGCUGGGGUGUAGCUGUGGGGGCUCCAGAGGGCUCAGAUCCUCCAAAGAGCCUCUGCACCCAAAGGAAGCCCGGCUGGGGUGUAGCUGUGGGGGCUCCAGAGGGCUCAGAUCCUCCAAAGAGCCUCUGCACCCAAAGGAAGCCCGGCUGGGGUGUAGCUGUGGGGGCUCCAGAGGGCUCAGAUCCUCCAAAGAGCCUCUACACCCAAAGGAAGCCCAGCUGGGGUGUAGCUGUGCGGGCUCCAGCUGCCUCCUUCCUGCCCAACUGCUCUGGCUCUGGCUGGCACAGGAAUAUUUGGGACCCAAGCUAUUGACACAAGGAGUGGGGCAGGGAAAAGGGCACCCAGCAAACACUGGUGUUAUCUCCAACACCAACGCUCCCAGGCACUGGGUAGUGCUUGGAAAUAGUUAUUGAAUGUUCAGGAUUUAUCAGGGUUUGGAAGGGGAGGUGGAAUUCUUUGGGGGGGGGGAGGAAAAAGUCUUUGGUAUUUCUGGAAAUUA
Long non-coding RNA from Parus major (Great Tit), 1726 nucleotides. RefSeq lists it as uncharacterized. The record is from RefSeq and is a predicted model, not a curated record. Lineage: Eukaryota; Metazoa; Chordata; Aves; Passeriformes; Paridae. The transcript has 4 exons.